This 963-nucleotide ribosomal RNA is filed under the name Triticum aestivum (bread wheat). Its description in RNAcentral is "partial small subunit ribosomal RNA". The record is from RNAcentral. Lineage: Eukaryota; Viridiplantae; Streptophyta; Magnoliopsida; Poales; Poaceae.
AUGCUACCACUACCCGUCCACCUGCCCUUCAUGCGCGGCCACUACUGGGCGGGCAUGAAGGCCAACUGGAUCGUCCUCAUCCACCAAUCUGGUAGUCCGUGGCGUCUCGUGGAUAUCUACACCCAGCGAGAGAUCACCCUUCCAUCUUUGGAUACCGCCGCCAUCGAGCCUCGCGGCCCGCCGGACACUCCUGCCUACUACGCACGAGAUGCGUCGACCUUUUGGCUCGACCUCUGUUUGCUGAAAGUUGUAAUCUGCGAAGUGCCCACACCAUCAGAAGACUACAUGGACUACAAGCUCAUUGCCGUGUUCAACAUGGGAUUAGUCUAUCUGGAAUCCGGUCGCCAUACAUGGUUAUGGCUCAUCGUCGAUCCUCUUCACCCAACAGUUCUGUCUGAUGCUAUAGUGCACGAUGGCAUCGUUUAUGCGGUCGACGCACAGAUUGGCUGCCUAUACUGGUGGAAUCUAUCGUCGUCAAACGCAAAUGCGCUGGCCUUCAUGAUUCCAGGACCUGGAAUCAUACCUGCCGAUGGGUGGUGGUUUAUCGCUCGUUUAGCUGACGGUGGUCAUUUGAUGCUCAUUUGCACAUAUUCAUGUGUAUACCAACAUCGACGUAUGUAUAUUCAUGUUUAUAUUCACAUCGAGUUCCAUAUAACUGGAAUUAACCCAUGCAAGUCGAAGAAGGAUUGGCCGGUGCUACCGGCUGGCGUCAAGUUCAAUCCCACGGAUCAGGAGCUGAUCGAGCACCUUGAGGCCAAAGUGAGUGCUGACAGCGUGAGAUCUCACCCUCUCAUCGAUUUGUUCAUACCAACCAUCAACAGCGAGCACGGCAUAUGCUACACCCAUCCUGAGAAACUUCCAGGCAAGACACCGACCGGCCGUCUACUUGCACAAACAUAUUCCUUUGUUUAUAGCUCUAUUUUUCUUUUCAGAUGUAGACCUGGUGAAGCAAUUACAAUUUGA